RNAcentral lists this ribosomal RNA (382 nucleotides) under uncultured Propionibacterium sp. RNAcentral's name for it is "bacterial SSU rRNA". It matches the Rfam family "Bacterial small subunit ribosomal RNA", at positions 505 to 885 of the family's 1533-position model. Lineage: Bacteria; Bacillati; Actinomycetota; Actinomycetes; Propionibacteriales; Propionibacteriaceae. The record is from RNAcentral.
GUGCCAGCCGCUGCGGUGAUACGUAGGGUGCGAGCGUUGUCCGGAUUUAUUGGGCGUAAAGAGCUCGUAGGUGGUUGAUCACGUCGGAAGUGAAAACUUGGGGCUUAACCCUGGGCGUGCUUUCGAUACGGGUUGACUUGAGGAAGGUAGGGGAGAAUGGAAUUCCUGGUGGAGCGGUGGAAUGCGCAGAUAUCAGGAGGAACACCAGUGGCGAAGGCGGUUCUCUGGACCUUUCCUGACGCUGAGGAGCGAAAGCGUGGGAGCAAACAGGCUUAGAUACCCUGGUAGUCCACGCUGUAAACGGUGGUACUAGGUGUGGGUCCAUUCCACGGAUUCCGUGUCCGUAGCUUAACGCAUUAACGUACCCCGCCUGGGAGUACGG